CCAAGACAGCAUCUCUUGGAGAUUGCUCCUUGGUGGAGAUUGCCUUAGUUUUUCCAGCCAAGGCAUUGACAUUGGCACUGAUGGAGGAAUGAUGGAGAACAUCUGAAGGGCAGAUCUGUUAAUAAGGAUGUCUGGAUGUUCCAUGUGGAUGUUUGUUGCUCUAUCUGGCAGAGUUAUGUCCUAGUGUAUUCACUCUCAUCAGCCAGAAACAACAAAUACAGAACAAUACCUGUGAAGCAUGAGUACUUCACUUAAUUGUUUGGUUGGAAAAAUGUACUUCAUUUUUCUGGAAGUUAUGAUAUUUAUGUCUGGUAAAUGUUGUGGCAUGUGAAGGAAAGAAAAGUUGAGGAUGACUGAUUUCACUAUGUAAUAAUUCUUCCCUAAGGCUAAAAAAUAUUUUUGUAGAGCUGUCCAAAUUUGUGACAAAUUCUACUCAUGCACACAAAAAAAUGCACACAAGAAAACAUCUCUUAUAAAAAUAUGACAUCCUCUUUCCCUUGACUAUGCCUGCAGUAGCACAAAUUUUCACUUGUGUCCUUUCUUUCUCUGCCUCUGCUGUUUGUCUUCCAUGGUGUUCAUGACUUCAGUCUGUAUUCUGUCAAAUUGCUGCAUACGCUUCCUCAGUGAACCUGCUUAGUUUUUUUUCUCCCAAAUCAGUUUAUCAUCCCUUUGUCUGCAGUUAACUCCUUUCAAUUGUGUUUUUGUUCCACAGAUUCACAGGUGUCAUCGUUUUAUGAUUUUUGGUUUCUGGUAUUCCACAGCAUAACAUCAUGCAGUGUGCUGGGAGUUAAAGUGUUAGUGCUCCAGUUCUGGGUACCUGUUCGGAAGAGAAGAAUUACACUGCACAGGGGGCUUUGUGGUCAGUGAGGAGGUAAAACUCCUGUCAAGAUCACCUGAUUGGGCUUUUCUCUUUGGUACUCUUUUCUUUUGCCUCUCCUCACCGCUGCCUGUCCUGGCUGUGCGCAAUGCUUCAGUGUCAGUGUAAGGACUUCAGUUUUUCAGACAGUCUCACUCACUCACAUCAUAUAUUUGAUUUAUUAGCUUCAAUUCUAAUUAUUUUGUAUUAUAGUGUGUUAUCUUACAUUCUGAUACCAUAUUUAGUAAAUUAGUUUGUUUCUCCUCAGACCAUUGCCACUGUUUUUAAUUAUUUUGGGGUCCCCUGUUUCCCUUUUCCAGAGGUGCGGAUUUUGUAAAAUACCUCUGCCCUACUAGUAACAGAACUGGGCUGAACCAGCCCAUAAACUGUUGGCAGCAGGUAGAGUGUGAUAAUUUAAGGGAACAAUUUAAUUAAAGGUUUUAUAAUCUGUCUAAAAGCAAUUUGGAGACUGUUUAAAAUCUACAAGACCUGCUCUGAAAGUAAUGCCUCCUAUUUUAUUAGGUUGGUCCCCAGUGUCAGAGGUAGAUGUUUGUGGUGUGAUGGUGGAGUCUAAACCUUUCCACCAAUAUUGUUACAUUUUUUUGCUGUGUGACAUGUGGCAGCAGAAGAGGAGUCUCAGUCUGAGAGAAUGGCCUGUCUGAAGGAAAGGUGUGUUGCUGAAUUCCACUGCAAAACAAAACAAUAACAAAAAAAAGGCACCUGGAGAUAUUAAUUCAUACUUGUAGAAUGUUGAUGGAAACCAAACUGUGUAUGUGAGCACAGUGAGGCAGUGGGUGGUGCAUCUUGGCAGUGGUAUCAUAUCAUCAUAGUAUCAUAG
Coturnix japonica (Japanese quail) is the source of this 1694-nucleotide non-coding RNA. The record is from RefSeq and is a predicted model, not a curated record. Lineage: Eukaryota; Metazoa; Chordata; Aves; Galliformes; Phasianidae.